RNAcentral lists this ribosomal RNA (25 nucleotides) under Diadegma semiclausum. RNAcentral's name for it is "partial 28S ribosomal RNA". The record is from RNAcentral. Lineage: Eukaryota; Metazoa; Arthropoda; Insecta; Hymenoptera; Ichneumonidae. RNAcentral also lists the same sequence under 2 other names.
ACGACCUCAGAGCAGGCGAGACUAC